UUCUAUAGCAUGCAAAACGUGAUUUGCGCUGAGAUGAACAUAUAUGUUCAUGACGCGAGUAAUUUUCACUUUUCACUGAUCCAAAGGAGGUCACGUGGGAUUGCUUGACGGUUGCGAAAUUAACAGCAAUGAAAAUGGCGAAACGAAACUUGUGAAUCGUGCAUUUGCUCUUCAUGGUAGCUGCCAGAAAAUCGAAUCAAACUUAUGGGACACUGGAUUACAGGUUGCUGCCACUACUCCAUGUGCCCGCAAUUGUCUUGCGUGUAUGAUUACACUAACGACGUCGCCCACCACGGCGGAAGUGUUUUGCGUACACGCGUUUCAGCAUGAAGCCUGCAGGUGGACGUAAAUUGUAGAAGGCAGCUAGUGGGGGAGAAGAUCAUGGUCAUAGGUCAUGUGGCUCCUGGAGCUCCCAGUGGGCUCCCUUGUGGAGUACUUUUCAGAACACGCACACAGUUCGCUCACAGAACCAACGAGUAGGAUGUUGCUUGAAUACUGAGAGAAAAUGGCGUAACACAUACAAAUAUCGUGUGACACAUAUGACA
Long non-coding RNA from Ornithodoros turicata, 545 nucleotides. RefSeq lists it as uncharacterized. The record is from RefSeq and is a predicted model, not a curated record. Lineage: Eukaryota; Metazoa; Arthropoda; Arachnida; Ixodida; Argasidae. The transcript is spliced from 3 exons.